UUUUUUUUUUUUUUUUUUUUUUUUUUAAAUAUAGAAGAAGGGUCUUAACUAAGUACUAAAUACUCUGACUAAGUAGCCCUGGAACUUACUCUAUAGGCCAGGCUGUCCUUGAACUUGCAAAGAUAUGUCUGCCUCUGCUUGUCCAGUUUUUGGCUUUAAAAGGCACGAACCACCAUGCCCAUCAACAUUGUAUGUAGUGCUUUUGACGCCAAGGCAUAUUUCUUCAUGUUGAGUCUGAAAUUAAAAAUUUUAAUUCUAAAAUGGCAUAUUUUAAGCAGUAAGCAGUCAUCAAUAUAAUGGUGGUAGCCUAAAUGCAAAAUGUGUAUGACUUUAGUCAUGUAUAAGUUUUCAUUAUCCCUCCUAAAAAGCAUUGACUUCUAUUGGGCUUUGAUGUGUGUGGAUUAUCCCUAUUGCUAUUUUAACUGUUUCAAGCCUUCAGAACAUGCAGGUGCUCAUUACAGCACUUGUAUUGGAAAUGAUACUAAAGUGAUGAUAGCUGUGUACAGAGAAGAGAAUGAAUGAAAAAUACAUUUACUGUCUUAAUAGCUUAUUUAGUUUUUAUCUCACCUCCUUAAUGAUUUCCUUCCUUCAAAAAGUUGGUGGUGUUGUUAGUAUGAAUUAAGUGGCGUUCUCAAAGUCCUUUUAUUUGCUAUGUUGAUAUCUUGUAUAGAAAUGUAUAUC
Molecule: long non-coding RNA, 681 nt
Filed under: Mus musculus (house mouse)
Lineage: Eukaryota; Metazoa; Chordata; Mammalia; Rodentia; Muridae
Description: long non-coding RNA chr10:67132343-67133024
Source: RNAcentral